UCCUAGGAACCUGGCUGGGUGAUCCUGGGAGGUGAUCCUGGGAGGUGAUCCUGGGAGGUGAUCCUGGGAGGUGAUUCUGGGAGGUGAUCCUGGGAGGUGAUCCUGGGAGGUGAUUCUGGGAGGUGAUCCUGGGAGGUGAUUCUGGGAGAAGAUCCUGGGAGGUGAUUCUGGGAGGUGAUCCUGGGAGGUGAUCCUGGGAGGUGAUCCUGGGAGGUGAUCCUGGGAGGUGAUUCUGGGAGGUGAUCCUGGGAGGUGAUCCUGGGAGGUGAUCCUGGGAGGUGAUCCUGGGAGGUGAUUCUGGGAGGUGAUUCUGGGAGAAGAUCCUGGAAGGUGAUCCUGGGAGGUGAUUCUGGGAGGUGAUUCUGGCUGGGUGAUCCUGGGAGGUGAUUCUGGGAGAAGAUUCUGGGAGGUGAUUCUGGGAGGUGAUCCUGGGAGAAGAUUCUGGGAGGUGAUUCUGGGAGGUGAUCCUGGGAGGUGAUCCUGGGAGGUGAUCCUGGGAGGUGAUUCUGGGAGAAGAUUCUGGGAGGUGAUUCUGGGAGGUGAUUCUGGGAGGUGAUUCUGGGAGGUGAUUCUGGGAGGUGAUUCUGGGAGAAGAUCCUGGGAGGUGAUUCUGGGAGGUGGUUCUGGGAGGUGAUUCUGGGAGGUGAUUCUGGGAGAAGAUCCUGGGAGGUGAUUCUGGGAGGUGAUUCUGGGAGAAGAUCCUGGGAGGUGAUUCUGGGAGGUGAUUCUGGGAGGUGAUCCUGGGAGGUGAUCCUGGGAGGUGAUCCUGGCCCUCUCCACCUUCACUUUCCCUCCAUGGGGGGAGGGGGUGUUUCUCUUUGAGGUCCACCUAUACCCAGGAGCCUCUGGACACUUGGCUGUCUAUGGCCAGGGCGCCCCCGCUCCCAAGCAGGGCUCUCUGCCCCCUAAGGCAGGGGCUUGGGAAGGGACCGGCCUGGGGGGGCCUUUAGCCCCCUCAUGCGGGGCUGGGCGCCUCUACCUG
Long non-coding RNA from Antechinus flavipes (yellow-footed antechinus), 982 nucleotides. RefSeq lists it as uncharacterized. The transcript has 3 exons. NCBI's taxonomy places the organism in Eukaryota, Metazoa, Chordata, Mammalia, Dasyuromorphia, Dasyuridae. The record is from RefSeq and is a predicted model, not a curated record.